This 606-nucleotide ribosomal RNA is filed under the name uncultured bacterium. RNAcentral describes it as "bacterial SSU rRNA". It matches the Rfam family "Bacterial small subunit ribosomal RNA", at positions 338 to 951 of the family's 1533-position model. The record is from RNAcentral.
CCUACGGGAGGCAGCAGUAGGGAAUAUUGGGCAAUGGAGGGAACUCUGACCCAGCCAUGCCGCGUGCAGGAUGAAGGCGUUAUGCGUUGUAAACUGCUUUUAUAUAGGAAGAAAUAGUCCUUGCGAGGAAAGUUGACGGUACUAUAUGAAUAAGCACUGGCUAACUCCGUGCCAGCAGCCGCGGUAAUACGGAGGGUGCAAGCGUUGUCCGGAUUUAUUGGGUUUAAAGGGUGCGUAGGCGGUUUAUUAAGUCAGUGGUGAAAGACGGUCGCUCAACGAUUGCAGUGCCAUUGAUACUGGUAGACUUGAGUGGGAUUGAGGUAGCUGGAAUGGAUAGUGUAGCGGUGAAAUGCAUAGAUAUUAUCCAGAACACCAAUUGCGUAGGCAAGUUACUAAGUCUCAACUGACGCUGAGGCACGAAAGUGUGGGUAUCAAACAGGAUUAGAUACCCUGGUAGUCCACACUGUAAACGAUGAUAACUAACUGUUGGCUUUCGGGUCAGUGGUACAGAGAAAUCGUUAAGUUAUCCACCUGGGAGUACGCCGGCAACGGUGAACUCAAAUGAAUUGACGGCUGAGAGAGCGACGACGACGACGAGGGAGGAGG